GAGUAUAUUGGAACCCAAUCAUUUCGUUAACGCGUUCUGGUUUCUCUUUUGUAAUGCAUUACAGAUGUACAAAAAGAAAUGUACUCGCCAUCUGAACGUUUAAAAUUUGCAACCCGCGUUGGGCUGUCGAAGAAGAUGGAGCCGUCAUACUCAUACGUAGGCAGCGCACUAAUUUUUCGCGAACAAGAUUACCAUCAGUGCAGUAUUGCCAUCUGGAUCACCGGGAAAUUAACCGGAGGCGAGCGAGUGGUACUUUUGACCAUCAAUGAGAUCGGAGCCGUGCCGUCGUCGCUGCCGGUAUUGAUGACCGGUAUAAUUGCUUAUCAGGUACAGGCUGAGCAGCAGUUCUGCAGGAGGCCACGCCGAUGUGUCGGGUUAAGUUAAGAGCAGCGUAAACAGGCGGUCAGAACAUCCGUGCUGGAGUUGGUAGAUAGAGUUGCAGCCGUUGUCGAUCGCGUCGCAGCUGGCUUCAAUUAACUCUUGUGUGACAACAGCCCAGCAGGGCCAGUAGGCCAGACACUACAGGGUCGCCAAGGCCGUGUUUACUUGAGGUUUACAGAUUGCGGGCUCCUAUCUUUCGCGGAGAACAGAGACGGAUCAAAAAGAAAGAAAGAAAAAAAUGAAUCCUACUGGAAGUCCACUUGCUCCUCCUACCUGGGUCAGCGUGAAAUAAAAAGCGAUCCUGCCUGGGUCCCGACAAUCUCGGGAUCCUGUGCUGUUCCAUCGUGGCCACAUGUAUCGGACUCAAAGAUUAAUGGCAGCCUGGCAGGCACUCCGAGUAUAUCUGAUCUUGCAUAGACGGAUUUGUUUAACGCUGCUGCUCGAUUUUGGCUGCAGAGGGCCUGAGAAGAAACGUUUAACAUUUGACAUUUUGACUUGUGCAUCACCUGUACGUGCCCGC
RNAcentral lists this long non-coding RNA (901 nucleotides) under Brachypodium distachyon (stiff brome). RNAcentral describes it as "long non-coding RNA (BDIS_LNC005849)". The record is from RNAcentral. Lineage: Eukaryota; Viridiplantae; Streptophyta; Magnoliopsida; Poales; Poaceae.